This 429-nucleotide ribosomal RNA is filed under the name Bacteroidota bacterium. RNAcentral's name for it is "Bacteroidetes bacterium partial 16S ribosomal RNA". It matches the Rfam family "Bacterial small subunit ribosomal RNA", at positions 355 to 776 of the family's 1533-position model. Lineage: Bacteria; Pseudomonadati; Bacteroidota. The record is from RNAcentral.
UAGGGAAUCUUCGGCAAUGGGGGGAACCCUGACCGAGCAACGCCGCGUGAGUGAAGAAGGUUUUCGGAUCGUAAAGCUCUGUUGUUAAGGAAGAACGAGUGUGAGAAUGGAAAGUUCAUGCUGUGACGGUACUUAACCAGAAAGGGACGGCUAACUACGUGCCAGGAGCCGCGGUAAUACGUAGGUCCCGAGCGUUGUCCGGAUUUAUUGGGCGUAAAGCGAGCGCAGGCGGUUAGAAAAGUCUGAAGUGAAAGGCAGUGGCUCAACCAUUGUAGGCUUUGGAAACUGUUUAACUUGAGUGCAGAAGGGGAGAGUGGAAUUCCAUGUGUAGCGGUGAAAUGCGUAGAUAUAUGGAGGAACACCGGUGGCGAAAGCGGCUCUCUGGUCUGUAACUGACGCUGAGGCUCGAAAGCGUGGGGAGCGAACAGG